Molecule: long non-coding RNA, 903 nt
Filed under: Chrysemys picta bellii (western painted turtle)
Lineage: Eukaryota; Metazoa; Chordata; Testudines; Emydidae
Description: lncRNA (ENSCPBG00000003988.1)
Source: RNAcentral
UAGGAUGGGACAAGGAAGAAGUGAUUCCGAUGCCUGCCCUCCCUCCCCCCGAACUGCCUUGGGGGGCCCAACACUGUACAUGCCAUGGAGGGAGUCUCUGGGGUGACACUGGGGAGGAGGAGAGGCCAGGAGUAUGCAGGUUUUGAGGCCCAGCACCUCACACAGGUAGCCCGGCUAUGCUGUAGCAGCUACUCUGGGCCAGUGGCUGGACAAGCAGCCACGGGUGGGAGAUCUGUCCUUGUUGUCAUUACAGAUUUAUUAGCAAGGACAAACGAACACAGUCUGUCUCCCUCCAGGCGUUCCUGCCCUUGUUGAAGAAGGCUGCACAGGAGAGCACCCAGACAGGGCUCAGCUGCGGCAAGGCGGCCAUUAUCAACGUGUCCACUAUAGGGGGCUCCAUCGGGAACACCCCCAGCAUGGCCAUCUUUCCAGUCAUCUCCUACCGCUGCAGCAAGACUGCUCUGAACAUGCUCACGAGGUGCCAGUCGGUGAGAUACAAGGAAGACGGGAUCCUGUGCACUGCGCUGCAUCCGGGCUGGGUGAAAACAGAGCUGGGAACUGCCAAGGUACAGCAGCUAAUGACUUUCCAGAGAUGUGCCCAGAGUCUCCUGGCAGCGUGAGGGUGAGAUGGUGGUUGGGGUUAGGCACUAUCACUCAUUGCAUCUAUUGCCAUUCGCUCAGACCAGAGUGUCAUUGCUUUGCUGCUGAUACCAAGACAAGUUUGCUCGAGGAAAAAACUGGAUAGACUCAGACAUUUAAUGUGAUCCAGAUCAAAUCCCCUUGGCCAAGUGUUGCUCACAUGAACAGCUCUGAUAAUGUCUCCGCUCAUUAGGCUUUUCUCUGCACUCCAGCCACUGCUGGCGCUGAACACGCCUUGCACCCACUGCCCUGUUUGCUCCUGCU